Molecule: ribosomal RNA, 253 nt
Filed under: uncultured bacterium
Lineage: Bacteria
Description: partial 16S ribosomal RNA
Rfam family: Bacterial small subunit ribosomal RNA
Source: RNAcentral
GACGGAGGAUGCAAGCGUUAUCCGGAAUGAUUGGGCGUAAAGCGUCCGCAGGUGGCAGUUCAAGUCUGCUGUCAAAGACCGGGGCUUAACUUCGGAAAGGCAGUGGAAACUGAACAGCUAGAGUAUGGUAGGGGCAGAGGGAAUUCCUGGUGUAGCGGUGAAAUGCGUAGAUAUCAGGAAGAACAUCGGUGGCGAAGGCGCCCUGCUGGACCAUAACUGACACUCAGGGACGAAAGCUAGGGGAGCGAAUGGG